GGGUCAGUAGGUUGGUCGUGCCACCGGUACGUACUGGUCUCACUGAUUCCUCCUUCCUGAAGAACCGUAAUGCCAUUAAUUUGGUGUUGCGGGGAAACAGGACUGUUACUUUGAAAAAAUUAGAGUGUUUAAAGCAAGCUAACGCUUGAAUACAUUAGCAUGGAAUAACGAAAUAGGACGAUCGAUCCUAUUUUGUCGGUUUCUAGGAUUGACGUA
RNAcentral lists this ribosomal RNA (216 nucleotides) under Glomeromycotina sp. RNAcentral describes it as "partial small subunit ribosomal RNA". The stretch from base 44 to 216 matches the Rfam family "Eukaryotic small subunit ribosomal RNA", at positions 690 to 864 of the family's 1831-position model. Lineage: Eukaryota; Fungi; Glomeromycota. The record is from RNAcentral.